CCUACGGGAGGCAGCAGUAGGGAAUCUUCCGCAAUGGACGAAAGUCUGACGGAGCAACGCCGCGUGAACGAUGAAGGCCUUCGGGUCGUAAAGUUCUGUUGUUAGGGAAGAACAAGUGCUAGUUAAAUAAGCUGGCACCUUGACGGUACCUAACCAGAAAGCCACGGCUAACUACGUGCCAGCAGCCGCGGUAAUACGUAGGUGGCAAGCGUUGUCCGGAAUUAUUGGGCGUAAAGCGCGCGCAGGCGGUUUCUUAAGUCUGAUGUGAAAGCCCCCGGCUCAACCGGGGAGGGUCAUUGGAAACUGGGAAACUUGAGUGCAGAAGAGGAAAGUGGAAUUCCAAGUGUAGCGGUGAAAUGCGUAGAGAUUUGGAGGAACACCAGUGGCGAAGGCGACUUUCUGGUCUGUAACUGACGCUGAGGCGCGAAAGCGUGGGGAGCAAACAGGAUUAGAUACCCUGGUAGUCCACGCUGUAAACGAUGAGUGCUAAGUGUUAGAGGGUUUCCGCCCUUUAGUGCUGAAGUUAACGCAUUAAGCACUCCGCCUGGGGAUACGGUCGCAAGACUGAAACUCAAAUGAAUUGACGG
This 587-nucleotide ribosomal RNA is filed under the name uncultured bacterium. RNAcentral's name for it is "bacterial SSU rRNA". It matches the Rfam family "Bacterial small subunit ribosomal RNA", at positions 338 to 916 of the family's 1533-position model. The record is from RNAcentral.